This 256-nucleotide ribosomal RNA is filed under the name uncultured bacterium. Its description in RNAcentral is "partial 16S ribosomal RNA". It matches the Rfam family "Bacterial small subunit ribosomal RNA", at positions 524 to 776 of the family's 1533-position model. The record is from RNAcentral.
UACGAAGGGGGGCUAGCGUUGCUCGGAAUGACUGGGCGUAAAGGGCGCGUAGGCGGAUGUCUUUGUCGGGCGUGAAAUUCCAGGGCUUAACCUUGGGGCUGCGUUCGAGACGGGAUGUCUUGAGUGGGGGAAGAGGGUCGUGGAAUUCCCAGUGUAGAGGUGAAAUUCGUAGAUAUUGGGAAGAACACCGGUGGCGAAGGCGGCGACCUGGUCCUUGACUGACGCUGAGGCGCGAAAGCGUGGGGGAGCAAACAGG